Molecule: non-coding RNA, 30 nt
Filed under: Mus musculus (house mouse)
Lineage: Eukaryota; Metazoa; Chordata; Mammalia; Rodentia; Muridae
Source: RNAcentral
UGAUACUCGGAAUUUGGCACAGCUCUGCUU